This 591-nucleotide ribosomal RNA is filed under the name Triticum aestivum (bread wheat). Its description in RNAcentral is "partial small subunit ribosomal RNA". The record is from RNAcentral. Lineage: Eukaryota; Viridiplantae; Streptophyta; Magnoliopsida; Poales; Poaceae.
AUGAAGUACAUGCACUGUCUUCGCGAAGGAUUGGAGCUCCCAGAGUUAGACCAAGGCAUUGCUUUUCCAGGGAUGGACUCUAUUGAGAAAGUUCUUCAGUUGGUGAAGAUUCUACAGUUAGAUGCUUACAAUGCUGGUAUUUUCAGUCAUGAAAAAGCGCAACAGCCAGAUGUAUGGCGUGCACGUGAUGAGUCAUUUGCUAGAAAGGAAAAGGAUACACACUGCAAAAAGAAACAUGGAAAAGGUGCACCUCCUCCUGAGGAUUCUUUUGUACCUAUGGAUGACGGUCUGUUUCAUAUGUUGAAUGUCAAUGGGAAGGUGGAAAGUUUAUUUACAGAGCAGCCCCCUGGUCCUGAACUGAAACUGGGUCAAGGGCAUGGGCGGUUUUCAAAUAAAGCAAAAGUUAGUUCUCCAAGCUGCUACGCUAGAAGGAAGAUGAGCACCCAAGGAUGGGACAACGAGAUUCUUCAUCUGAAAAGGUCUAUUUUGGAUAUGCCAAUGGACAAACUGCUGCAUACCACCUUGGCGAGAAGACAAGUGCAAAUGCCCAUGAGGCUUCAUGUCAGCAUCAUAAAUACCUCAAAAAAAUGA